This 416-nucleotide small RNA is filed under the name Histoplasma capsulatum var. duboisii H88. RNAcentral's name for it is "Histoplasma capsulatum H88 hypothetical RNA". The record is from RNAcentral. Lineage: Eukaryota; Fungi; Ascomycota; Eurotiomycetes; Onygenales; Ajellomycetaceae.
ACAGGGCAGGGUUCUGACGCUGAAGUUAGAAUAGGAUGAUUUUUAUACAAUAAAAAAUUGCUUUCCUUAAUCAUUAUCUUGGGCGCACCCCGAUCCACACACUGACGGUGCCAGGACAGUUGCCAGUUCUAAUUGAGCGCCCAACUCGGUACAGAGUGCUAAAUACGUUAGUAACAAUGCUUAUUGACUGUGCUUCGGUCCAGAAGGUGUAAAGAUUAGUGGAUUGAGGGCAGGACCCCCCCGAAACAAAAUGGAACCAGAAAGACGCUCAUUUGGACUGCACGUCAAGAUACUGCCUUGCAGGAACACGAUUGAAAAUGAGAACUAGUCGGACUGAUGGGUUCAUUCAGUUUUAUAACGGUCCCAUUUUCCAAAGCAUCAUGGUAGGAGGUCGAAGGGGAAAUGAAGAAAGCCGG